UACGAAGGGGGCUAGCGUUGCUCGGAAUCACUGGGCGUAAAGGGUGCGUAGGCGGGUCUUUUAAGUCAGGGGUGAAAUCCUGGAGCUCAACUCCAGAACUGCCUUUGAUACUGAGGAUCUUGAGUUCGGGAGAGGUGAGUGGAACUGCGAGUGUAGAGGUGAAAUUCGUAGAUAUUCGCAAGAACACCAGUGGCGAAGGCGGCUCACUGACCCGAUACUGACGCUGAGGCACGAAAGCGUGGGGAGCAAACAGGG
Molecule: ribosomal RNA, 255 nt
Filed under: uncultured bacterium
Lineage: Bacteria
Description: partial 16S ribosomal RNA
Rfam family: Bacterial small subunit ribosomal RNA
Source: RNAcentral